This 337-nucleotide ribosomal RNA is filed under the name Thalassiosira rotula. Its description in RNAcentral is "partial Eukaryotic large subunit ribosomal RNA". It matches the Rfam family "Eukaryotic large subunit ribosomal RNA", at positions 406 to 743 of the family's 3401-position model. The record is from RNAcentral. Lineage: Eukaryota; Bacillariophyta; Thalassiosirophyceae; Thalassiosirales; Thalassiosiraceae.
UGUUGGAAGGGAAACGCUUGAAGUCAGACUUGCUGUUCGGAGUUCAGCCGCAAGGUGUACUCUCCGAGUUGCAGGCCAGCAUCAGUUUUCUGGGAUGGAAAAUCACGGUUUGAAGGUAGCAGUUUCGGCUGUGUUAUAGCUUUCCGUUGGAUACAUCCUGGGGGACUGAGGAACGCAGUGUGCUUUUAGCGGGGGCUUCGGCCCCUUCACACUUAGGAUGCUGGUGGAAUGGCUUUAAACGACCCGUCUUGUAACACGGACCAAGGAGUCUAACAUGCUCGCGAGUAUUUGGGUGUCAAACCCGGAUGCGCAAUGAAAGUGAAUGUAGGUGGGAACC